This 393-nucleotide non-coding RNA is filed under the name Amborella trichopoda. RNAcentral describes it as "Bacterial large subunit ribosomal RNA". It matches the Rfam family "Bacterial large subunit ribosomal RNA", at positions 41 to 478 of the family's 2925-position model. Lineage: Eukaryota; Viridiplantae; Streptophyta; Magnoliopsida; Amborellales; Amborellaceae. The record is from Rfam by way of RNAcentral.
AGAAUUUUAUAAAACCUUGAAAUAGACGAAAUGCUUUGGGGAGUUGAAAAUAAGCAUAGAUCUGGAUAUUCCCGAAUGGGUCAACCUAUCGAACUGCUGUUGAAUCGAUGUACAGGCAAGAGACAACCUGGUGAACUGAAACAUCUUAGUAACCAGAGGAAAAAAAAGCAAAAGUGAUUCCCGUAGUAGCGGCGAGCGAAAUGGGAACAUCCUAAACCGUGAAAUCGGGGUUGUGAGAGAGCAAUACAAGCGUCAUGCUGAUAGGCAAAGCGGUUGAGUAUUGCACCCUAGAUAGCGAGAGUCCAGUCGCUGAAAGCAUCACUGACUUACGCUCUGACCUGAGUAGCAUGGGGCGUGUGAAUGAGCAAGGACCACCAUGUAUUUUUCAUCUUU